Long non-coding RNA from Homo sapiens (human), 2189 nucleotides. Ensembl annotates it as SATB1 antisense RNA 1. Its record names the gene SATB1-AS1. The record is from Ensembl. NCBI's taxonomy places the organism in Eukaryota, Metazoa, Chordata, Mammalia, Primates, Hominidae.
GCCGGGGCGUCCCCCGCGGGAGCCCGCAGCCACCCGGGACGCGCAUCCAGACGUGGCGCUUCGGACCGGGCACGCUGCGCCCGGGGGCUCGGCGGACCCCGCGUAGCCGCCGCUUCGGAGCUUGUGCGGCGCGGGCUGGCCAGCGGGGCGGCCAGGGCCCGGCCCGCCUCCCCAGCGCCCGCCCGGCUUCUCCCCCUGGCGGUGGGAGCCUCGGCGGCCGCUGGCGACACUAGGCGCACUGAAGCCCGAGCCGAGCCGAGCCCGAGCCGCCGCCGCCGCCGCCGCUGCUGCGCACCGCUCCCGGGCUCCCUCCCAGCGCGCCGGCCGGGGUGUGGGGGGCGGCGGGCCGGAGGGGCGAGGGCGGGCCAGGGGGCGCACACGGGGGUUGGCGCGGAAGACAGGACCCUCAGCCUCGAGGGAGCCCCUAGGUGACCAGGCAAAAUGGCAGUUCCUUCCAGCUGGUCCUCAGAUGGGCACAUCUAUUAGCCUCUGCUCUUGUAAGAAGUUAGCUGCAGAACCCACAUGUGAAUCCUUGUAGGACUCUGGAGAAGAUCAAAUGGGAGCUUAGAUGUGGAAGCUCUUUGGAAACCAAGAAACACUCUGAAAAUGAAAAGGGUGGAAGAGUAAACUGUUCCUGUUUCUCCAUCUUGACAGGAAGCAGAAGUUCUCCUUAGCUGAUUUUUCUUCUUGCCUUAUACUGGGUUCUUUAACACCAGAACAAAAAUAAAUAAAUAAAAGAAUCUUCCAGAAAUUCAUGAAGAGACUUCAGGUCAGGAAAGCCUGAACUUUCUCAUCCAACACCCGUUCAAGUCGGAGGAUGCUGAUUAAUUCAUGAUGGAAAGGUAUCAAUUUCACAGCCCAGACCUCUACAUUCUUGAAAUGCUCUUCUCAUGGGAGACAUUAAAUAAGCUUUGAAUUAACUGAGACCUCUGUGGAUUCUAUAACUCAAAGACCCAGGCUGACGGCUGGUGGAAUAGCUACCAUCUCAAACAUGGCGUGAUGCUGCAUCAGAGAGAAAAAUAAGCUCUUGCAUUGACAAUGAAAUGUCUACCCUGUAGUGACUUGUGCUUACUUCCACUCACAAGUGAUUGCCCAGAGCUACUUACCUGGCUCCAAUCUACCACUGGGUGUGUACUUGCAAUCUACCAUGUACCUAGAAGAUGAGAGAAACAAAUUAUUAAUGAUGACCACACCCCAAUACUAACAACAAUUGCAGAAGAAUCAAUGACUUAAACAAAAAUGUGGCCAUUGAAGGAAUAGAAAAUAUAGUGAGUUUAGUGUAAAUUUAAAAGUGAUUUAUAAGUAACAUACAAAAUCCAGAAACUAUAAGAAAACAGAUUCACAAAUAUAAAUAUAUAAAGCUUUAAAAAAGUUUAAUGUAACAAAAAUGGCAUAAAAGGAGUCAAAAGUUUUUAAAAAAUAUGUUAAUGCAGUAGAUUAGGUGCUAAUUUUCUUAAUAUACUAAUAACUCAAUAAGAGAAAUUUUGUAUCUAGAAGAAAAUGAACAUGGAAAUAGGCAAUUCACAGAUAAUGGCAUUCAUCUGGCGAAUAAAAAAAUGUGUGACAUUCAGAAUAAAAUAAAAAUGAAAUACUGGUUUUCAGCCAUCACUUGAGCAAAACUGCAAAGAUACAAUGAGACUCAGGCAUUCCCAUAUACUGUGGAUGGGAGGGCAAAGACCUUCAACCUCUAAUUUUAUUUCUAUUUUUAAACAUGUAUGUUAAAAUUUUAAAUGCUAAUGUCCUCUUGACCCAAUAAUCUUAUGUCUAAGAUUUGAAUCUGGAGAUAAACUUGAACAAAUGCAUCUAGAUUUAUGUAUAAGUAUUAAUAUAGUUUAGAUGUGUGUUCCCACCCAAAUCUCAUAUUGAAAUGUAAUCCCCAGUGUUGGAGGUGGGUCCUGGUGUGAGGUGAUUGGAUUAUGGGGGUGAAUUUCUCAGGAAUGGUUUAACAUCAUCCCCUACGGCCCUGUCCUUGCAUAGUGAGGUGAGUUCUUCUGAGAUCUGGUCAUUUAAAGUGUGCAGCACCUCCCCGCCUCACUCUCUCUUGCUCCUGCUUUUGCUAUGUGAUGUGUGAGCUACUGCUGUGCCUUACACCAUGAUUUGAAGCUCCCUGAGGCCUCCCCAGAAGGAGAUGCUGCCAUGCUUCCUGUACAGCCUGCAGAAUUGUGAGGCAAUUAAACCUCGUUUCUUUA